Long non-coding RNA from Hibiscus syriacus, 171 nucleotides. RefSeq lists it as uncharacterized. The record is from RefSeq and is a predicted model, not a curated record. NCBI's taxonomy places the organism in Eukaryota, Viridiplantae, Streptophyta, Magnoliopsida, Malvales, Malvaceae. The transcript is spliced from 3 exons.
UACCCAAAAUUUUAGAUGACAAGAAUUGACACAGGUGAAGUUAAAGACCCGGAAACAGAGAGAUGAAAGAAAUAAACGAAAUAGAUGUGCAAUCAAUUACUUGGACAUUUAUAUGGAAGCAUGAUUAACAAAUCUAGACUCCUUUAGUUAAGGGAAUAUGUCUAUAAACUU